GGGGAAGGCGCUCUUCUUGAGUGCUAUGACACGACUCUCGGGGAAAAUGCUGACUUCCCCGAGUGCCGUGGGCUUGGCACUCGGGGAAGAGUCUCUUCCCCAAGAGCCAGGGAAGGCACUCGGAGAAUAAUUUUUUUUAGUUUAUUUUGCUCUAUUUUUUCCUGAGGCCUUCCCACAUUAUUUAAAACUUCUUAUUCAAGUUUGGGAAAAUUUAAACUUUUUUAGUAUAUUUUAUUAGUUUUUUUCGUUUCAUUGAUUUUUUUUUGUAAACUUCAAAUUUGAAUUGCCGGUGCAUUAAAUAAUGGAAUUUCUUUAUUCAAAAAAUGAUAUUCAUGAUAUUUGGUAUAUGUUAAGACCAUAUCCACAAGCUCAAAUGAAUUGUCUGCGGAAAAAGUGUUUUUAAAAUAUAUAAAAUCUAUAAGAAGUCCAAAAAUCAAGAAACCUGUCUGGGCGUCAUGUUAUUGCAUGUAGAGGCUAUGAUAAAAAAUUGAGAAGGUUUCGAACAAGUUGUGACGUCAGAUAUCUGAAACCCAGACAUCUCUACUUUGAUCACUUAUGAUCAUAUGCGGAGAGGUGCGGGUUUUAGGCAUCUGACCUCGUAACUUGCUUGAAACCUUCUCAGGAUGCCUCAACAAGUUUCGUGAUUUUUGAACUUUGUUCGUAUUUUAUAUAAUUGAAAAACACUUUUACUAUAAGUUGUUCAUCAUGUUACCGAAACAAGAUGCCCGACAUUUCAUUUGAGUUUCUAGAAACGACCUUAAUAUACAUCAAAUAUCAUAAAUAUUAUUUUUUGAAUCAAAAAAUUAUAUAUUUCAUGCACUUACAGUUCAAAUUUGAUGUAUGAAAAAAAAUUCAGCGAAACGAAAAAAUUAACAAAAUAUAAAAAAAGUCAAAAUUGUCCCAAAUUUGAACAAGGAGUUUCAAAUAAUGUGGAAAAGGCCUCACCAAAAAAUGGCGCAAAAAACAAAAAAAAUUAAUUUUCCCCGAGUGCCUUUAGUGACACUCAGGAAAUAGACUCUUCCCCGAGUGCCACAACAUGACACUCGGAGAAGAAAUUUUAAAAAAAACCCAGCCCGACCCAAAUAAGCCACCCACCAACACCCCCAACCCUAUCUCUCCCUUCCCUCUCUCAGCCGCGCUGCCGCCGCGCUCGCCCCGCGCCCGCCGCCAGCCCUGCAACAAUACAUCCAAGUAGCCCUGUUCUCUAUCUUUACAUAAAUAAAAAAAAUAAAUUGAUUAAUUGAGAAUAAUUAUUAGCAACAAUCAUUAGCUAUUAUUAUUAGCAACAAUUAAUAAGUAACAAUUAUUAUCUACUAUUAUUAGCAACAAUUAUUAGCUAUCAUUAUUAGCAAUAAUUGUGUUAGAAACGAUUAUUAGACAUAAUUAAUAGUACCAAUUAUUAUCUACUAUUAUUAGAAACAAUUAAUAUUAGCAACAACUAUUACUUUACCAAUAACUAUUCAUGCCAACCACAUUCCAAUUUUAUGAAACAAAAACAAAAAAGGAAACCCUAGAUGUAGAAUGCCUUUUCUCUCCAUACAUGAAACUACAAUUAAUCUCCAUUAAAAUCAAGCUAUAUCACCUAAUUGAUGGUGCAAGGUGAUGUCUCUACCUAUUCUACACUAAUAGCAUCAAAGAUAAGCUCUAAUUUGGUCAACACAAAGCUCAAGCUCC
Molecule: long non-coding RNA, 1674 nt
Filed under: Sorghum bicolor (sorghum)
Lineage: Eukaryota; Viridiplantae; Streptophyta; Magnoliopsida; Poales; Poaceae
Description: long non-coding RNA (SBIC_LNC016420)
Source: RNAcentral